GAGCCGCGUUUGUUUUGAUGGCUCGUGGUGCCGCGCCUCGCGCUUUCCGCAGUCGCUGCCGUUAGAUUCCCGACCGUGGAAUCGUGUCUCAUCCCAAGCGGGGUUCCAACGCUGACGGUGGAUAAGGGAGACCUGCUGCCCAAAGCAUCGGGAGAGGGAGAGGUUGGGGAAAAGGGACUGCGUUACAACCGACGGCGCGACUCCGCUGUCGCUCUUGCCGUAGUUUACUGCAGUGUUUGUUGUUCAACCCCAGCAGUGACGGUUCAAGCCUCCUCCAUCGUGUUAACAAGAGGCUAUUUUAUCCGCUUUACAGGCAGGAAGUAAUUCACAGUGCAACAGUGGAAAACCUCUUUACAGCCAGGACCCAAUAGCACUGGAGAAACAAUCUCUGAAGAACUCCAGAGUUCCCUGAAAUUGAAAUAAUCUGAGAACCCGUUCCCUGAGGGAACGGAAAAUGCUUACCCACUUCAUCCAGAGGACUACCUGUAAGAAGAGGAGGGGAAAUACUGUGUCCCCCUUUCCUGUAAAGCAACAACAGACAUAUUUUUCUUUUUUAGUGAUUAAAUUAGGGAAUGUUCUAAUUUUAUCCUUUGAUCUAGCAAUCAAUGUUAUUUGAAGAUAGUUCAAACCUGA
This is a long non-coding RNA of Ahaetulla prasina, 633 nucleotides long. RefSeq lists it as uncharacterized. The record is from RefSeq and is a predicted model, not a curated record. The transcript has 3 exons. Lineage: Eukaryota; Metazoa; Chordata; Lepidosauria; Squamata; Colubridae.